UUCUAUUUGUCUGCAGCAGUUUCAUUAUGAAGAAUUGAUUAUCCUCGAAUUCCUGGUUGGCACAGCCUGGUUGGCACACAGACGCUUGGAGGACUGGUGUGCAACCCCACAACCGAUUUAAAUAUAAGGGACUUGAAUUUUCAGUCAUGAGCUGACCUUCAUUUUGGGAGGGACAAAGUGAUCUAAGGUCCAGUUUGCUGAGUUAAGAUACCCAAGUGAAAGUGAACACAGAAAUAAAGGACAAGCUAGAUCCUGAGAGAAAGAUAACAAGGAUCCAUUAUGAGUGCAAGGGCAUGAGAAAGAAGAGGGGAGUUUCUCCUACAUCUCCAGAGCAGACUAAAGAAGAAGUUAAUUUGGCCUGGGGCUGAAAAAACAUGGCAUCAUAAAAGAGAUGAGGUUGGAUGGAUUGUCAGAUAUGGAGAAAAAGAACAGCGAUGACUCACCCACCCUUCCUUCGCCCGUGUCAUAAUCACCACGUGCAGGUCGCCAUACUGAAUAAUGAGUGCGAAUCGCAGAUGUCUGUCAAUCAGGUCACUGAAAUAUUCAAAUGGUGACUGAGUUGUCAAAUUCAUCAAAGAAAUUGUACGUUGACUGUGGCCACAGCUUUAUUGGUAAGCAAUUGCAUGUGUGCUUAUUCUUUUUGAAAUUAUGAAUAAGAUAGUCUAUAUCAUUUUAAAUUUUAAAAUAUUUUAGACUACCUAUAUGUCAGGGUUUUGCUAGGCUUUGGUAAUAAUAAAGUCAUAUAGUAUUCCAGUGCUAUACAUUCAGGAAUAGAUGAUUAUGCACAUAUAGUAUACACACUACAUGUACAACACAAACUGUUGCUUUGUGCAUUCACAACCCACACACUCACCACAGUAAUAAGCACAUGCACAUAGAUAUGCAAAUACACAUUAUGUAUCCCGCCACCAAGUAAAAGUAUCAUCCAGUUUAGGCUGGGGUUUCUCAUUGGCAAAACUAUUACCAUUUAGGAUAAAAUAACUUACUAGGACUGAGGAGAUAUCACCUCUUCAACUGUGACAACCAAAACUAUCUCUUGUCUGCAGAGACUUCCAAAAGUCCCAUGAGAACCAAGGACAAAAUUUCCUGCAGCUUAAACUACUGGAUUAGGAGAAAAUUUCUAAAUGUAAAUCGCUAACGAAGACAACGUGGUGCCAAGGAAAUCAUGGGAAAUUCAUAGCAUUCAGCAGCUGAUACAACUAACUUGAAAUAAAGCGUUUUUUGGAGUAGAGAAUGGUAAAACCCAAAUUCGUAAGGGAAAUAGUUAAAAUACACAUUGUGUUCAGGGGCCAUGUAGCACUUGAUGUUUGGGAUACAGUUAAUAAAAAUGUAUAAGGAAUAAUGCAAGCCUUGGCACUAUAAAAAGCUAUCAAAUUGUUGAGAUCUUUAAAUAAAAGGUUUUUUUUUUGUUUCUCAUCCUGUAGAAAUGUUAUUUGAAUGUACAAAUGGAAUUAAUAAAACAUG
Molecule: long non-coding RNA, 1464 nt
Filed under: Rattus norvegicus (Norway rat)
Lineage: Eukaryota; Metazoa; Chordata; Mammalia; Rodentia; Muridae
Description: long non-coding RNA NONRATT033786
Source: RNAcentral